AUGAAGAUAAUCGCGUGGAAUUGUCGGGGUUUGGGGAAUUGCCCGGCGGUUCGUGGUCUUCUAGAGCUCCAUAAGAAGGAGGACCCUGAUGUCAUAUUUUUGAAAACUAGACUAAAUACAAAUAAGGUGGAGAAGCUUUGGUACACUCUCAACAUGCCUCACUUAGUCUUUAAGUCAUGUGAUGGCAAGAGUGGGAGGGGGGGUUAG
This 207-nucleotide ribosomal RNA is filed under the name Triticum aestivum (bread wheat). Its description in RNAcentral is "partial small subunit ribosomal RNA". Lineage: Eukaryota; Viridiplantae; Streptophyta; Magnoliopsida; Poales; Poaceae. The record is from RNAcentral.